GAAUCAACGCUGGCGGCGUGCCUAACACAUGCAAGUCGAACGCGAGAGGGGCUUCGGCCCCCGAUUGAGUGGCGAACGGGUGAGUAACACGUGGGUGACCUACCUUCGUAGUGGGGGAUAACGUCCCGAAAGGGACGCUAAUACCGCAUAACAUUCCGCUUUUGAACAAGUGGAAAUCAAAGCCGGGGAUCGUAAGACCUGGCGCUUGAAGAGGGGCCCGCGUCCGAUUAGCUAGUUGGUGAGGUAACGGCNCACCAAGGCGACGAUCGGUAGCCGGCCUGAGA
This 284-nucleotide ribosomal RNA is filed under the name uncultured bacterium. RNAcentral's name for it is "partial 16S ribosomal RNA". It matches the Rfam family "Bacterial small subunit ribosomal RNA", at positions 27 to 297 of the family's 1533-position model. The record is from RNAcentral.